GACGAACGCUGGCGGCGUGCUUAACACAUGCAAGUCGAACGGAGAGGCCCUGCUUUUGGGGGGUGCUCGAGUGGAGCAGGUGUGUGAAACACGAGAAUCACCUGCUCUUGACUUUGGUAAACCUUGAGGAAACUGGGUAUAAUCGCGGAUAAGCGCCCACGCCGCGGGGUGGGUGUGGGAAAGUUUUGGCGGUUGGGGAUGGACUCGCGGCUUAUCAGCUUGUUGGUGGGGUAGUGGCUUACCAAGGCCUUGACGGGUAGCCGGCCUGAGAGGGUGACCGGCCACAUUGGGACUGAGAUACGGCCCAGACUCCUACGGGAGGCAGCAGUGGGGAAUAUUGCACAAUGGGCGGAAGCCUGAUGCAGCAACGCCGCGUGCGGGAUGACGGCCUUCGGGUUGUAAACCUCUUUCGCCUGUGACGAAGCGUGAGUGACGGUAAUGGGUAAAGAAGCACCGGCUAACUACGUG
RNAcentral lists this ribosomal RNA (468 nucleotides) under uncultured bacterium. RNAcentral's name for it is "partial 16S ribosomal RNA". It matches the Rfam family "Bacterial small subunit ribosomal RNA", at positions 28 to 507 of the family's 1533-position model. The record is from RNAcentral.